Long non-coding RNA from Silurus meridionalis, 311 nucleotides. RefSeq lists it as uncharacterized. Lineage: Eukaryota; Metazoa; Chordata; Actinopteri; Siluriformes; Siluridae. The transcript has 2 exons. The record is from RefSeq and is a predicted model, not a curated record.
AAUAAAACACUGAGUUGAAAUAACCACAUAGAUAUUGAAUUAGUGCACUACAUGGAAGUCAUGUGAAUAAUGUCUCCUACAAUCUACAUAGUCCACUAGAUAUCAUAUACUGCAUUGUUUGAGACAGCUAGCCUAUUAGCCCGAAAGCUACAUAUUCACAAAGCAGAGAUAUGUCCUAGCGAGCUAGCUAGCCACAGAAAUGGACUUAUGGACAUAUAAAGCUCAAUGCUACACCCACCUGGACGCUACAUUCUUUGCCCUGGAGAGGUUUCACUGUCAAGAUCAUCUUGACAGUUGAUUAAUAAAACGAA